Molecule: non-coding RNA, 881 nt
Organism: Erinaceus europaeus (western European hedgehog)
Lineage: Eukaryota; Metazoa; Chordata; Mammalia; Eulipotyphla; Erinaceidae
Source: the annotation of a RefSeq genome assembly
AGCCCAGGAGGCUGAGGCCACUGAGUCCCAUGAGUUCUCCUGCCAUGGCCUGGACAGUGCUUCUGCUCACACUCCUCACUUAUGGCUCAGGAACUCAUUCUCAGACUGUGACUCAGGAGCCAUCACUGUCAGUGUCUCCAGGAGGGACAGUCAAACUCACCUGUGGCCUUAACUCGGGAUCAGUCACUAGUAGUAACUACCCCAGCUGGUACCAGCAGACUCCAGGCCAAGCUCCAAAAUUGCUUAUGUACAACACCAACAACCGCCCCUCUGGAGUCCCUGAUCGCUUCUCUGGCUCCAUUUCUGGCAACAAAGCUGCCCUCACCAUCACUGGGGCUCAGACAGAUGACGAGGCUGAUUAUUACUGUAAUCUCUACAUGGGUAGUAGUGUUGCUGUGUUCGGCGGAGGGACGAGGCUGACUGUCCUAGGUGGGCCCAAGUCAGCACCCUCAGUCACACUGUUCCCACCAUCCACUGAGGAACUCAGCACCAACAAGGCCACACUGGUGUGUCUCAUCAGUGACUUCUACCCUGGCAGUGUGACUGUGGGCUGGAAGGAAGAUGGCACCACCAUCACCAAAGGAGUGCAGACCACCAAGCCCUCCAAGCAGAGCAACAGCAAGUACGCAGCCAGCAGCUACCUGAGCCUGACAGCCAGUGACUGGAAAUCUCAUAGCUCAUACAGCUGCCAGGUGACGCAUGAAGGCAGCACCGUGGAGAAGACAGUGCGCCCCAGCUGAGUGUGAAGUCCCAGGCCCUCCUCGCCCCCAUACUUGAGGAUGGCUACACAGGACCCUGGGUGGGUCUCUCCUUCCACCUUAACCAUCCCCACCUCAUCUGCCUGGAUUCAACCAACUCUCAAUAAAAUGUCCUCACUUUAA